This 541-nucleotide ribosomal RNA is filed under the name uncultured bacterium. Its description in RNAcentral is "bacterial SSU rRNA". It matches the Rfam family "Bacterial small subunit ribosomal RNA", at positions 355 to 912 of the family's 1533-position model. The record is from RNAcentral.
UGGGGAAUCUUGGACAAUGGGGGCAACCCUGAUCCAGCCAUGCCGCGUGAGUGAUGAAGGCCUUAGGGUCGUAAAGCUCUUUCGCCUGUGAAGAUAAUGACGGUAGCAGGUAAAGAAACCCCGGCUAACUCCGUGCCAGCAGCCGCGGUAAUACGGAGGGGGUUAGCGUUGUUCGGAAUUACUGGGCGUAAAGCGCACGUAGGCGGACCAGAAAGUUGGGGGUGAAAUCCCGGGGGCUCAACCCCGGAACUGCCUCCAAAACUAUUGGUCUAGAGUUCGAGAGAGGUGAGUGGAAUUCCAAGUGUAGAGGUGAAAUUCGUAGAUAUUUGGAGGAACACCAGUGGCGAAGGCGGCUCACUGGCUCGAUACUGACGCUGAGGUGCGAAAGUGUGGGGAGCAAAACAGGAUUAGAUACCCUGGUAGUCCACGCCGUAAAACGAUGAGUGCUAGUCGUCGGCAGGCAUGCCUGUCGGUGACGCAGCUAACGCAUUAAGCACUCCGCCUGGGGAGUACGGCCGCAGGUUAAAACUCAAAUGAAUUG